Molecule: non-coding RNA, 26 nt
Filed under: Rattus norvegicus (Norway rat)
Lineage: Eukaryota; Metazoa; Chordata; Mammalia; Rodentia; Muridae
Source: RNAcentral
UGACAAGGUCUUCUCAGGGACUGCAA